AUGGACAGGCUUAUCUCUUCGCCGCUCCACCUCACCCGCGCGCCCGCCUCCUCCUCCGCCUCCAGGCCCCGCGCCGGCGGCCACCACCACCUCCUCCCCGCCACCGCCGCGCCAAGGUCCUUCGCGCCCCUCCACGGACUCAGGCUGCAUCCUCUGGCGCCGCUCCUCCCCAGGCCGCCCCCGUCCCUCCUCGCCGCGGCCUCCGCCUUCUCCCGCGCCGACGCCGUCAAUCCCGCGCCACCGGAACCAGAUGACGAGGCCGCCGACGCCUCUGCGCAGGCUCCGGCCACCGGAGUCACCCGCUUCUUCCAGAAGGCCGGGAAUAAUCCACAGGUCGCCUUGGUGGCGGCGCUGGUGGUGGCGGCAGUCGGGCCGUCGUCCAUGGUGCCGCCGGCGCUGGCCUCGGCGCUGCACAACCACUCCCACUCGGCGGCCGUCACGGCGGGCCGGAGCAUCUUCAAGUCGGAGCUGCUGGGCAGCGCGUGGACGGGGUUCCUGGCCGGCUGCCUGCACACGCUCUCGGGCCCGGACCACCUGGCCGCGCUGGCGCCGCUCUCCAUCGGGCGGUCGCCGGUGGAGAGCGCGGCGGUGGGCGCGCUCUGGGGCUGCGGCCACGACGCCGGCCAGGUCAUGUUCGGCCUGCUCUUCCUCGGCCUCAAGGACCGGCUCCACAUCGAGGUGCUCCGCACCUGGGGCACCCGCGUCGUCGGCCUCACCCUGCUCGUCAUCGGCGCCAUCGGCAUCCGGGAGGCGACGCAGGCGGCGCCCUGCGUGGCCGCCGCGCUGGAGGGCGGCACCAGCGCGCACCAGCACGGCGGCAACAACAGCGACGCGCUGGAGAAGGCGCUGCUGGGCGCCGGCGGCAAGAAGAAGGAGAUCAGCUUCGCGACGUUCGCGACGGGGAUCGUGCACGGGCUGCAGCCGGACGCGCUCAUGAUCAUCCUGCCGGCGCUGGCCAUGCCGUCGCGCGCCGCGGGGGGCGCCUUCCUCGGCAUGUUCCUCGUGGGCACCGUGCUGUCCAUGGCCAGCUACACCGUGCUCAUCGGCACCUGCACCGAGGCGCUCAAGGAGAGGGUGCCCCGGAUCACAGAGAAGCUCACCUGGGCGGCCUCCCUCGUCGCCAUCUCCAUGGGGGUCGCCAUCAUCGUCAGCGAGUCCUUCGGGGUGAGCUUGUACUGA
Molecule: ribosomal RNA, 1179 nt
Filed under: Triticum aestivum (bread wheat)
Lineage: Eukaryota; Viridiplantae; Streptophyta; Magnoliopsida; Poales; Poaceae
Description: partial small subunit ribosomal RNA
Source: RNAcentral